GGUCAAACGGAAGCUCCCUAACCUCUCCCUCUCAUUUUCUCCCCUCCCCUACAUUUGGUUGGAAGCUCCUUGUCUGCGCCAAUUCGUGCGAGCUCCUCCCCCACCUAUAAGUUUGAUGUGUUGUGCUUCAUUUAAAAACACAUUUUCUGUGCAUGUCUAAAUUUAUGGCUCAACAAGUUGUUGCCUUCCCAGUUAUGGGCUUCUAAGUUUCUCCUUUCUUUCUAUUAUGGUGGUAUUUCCCAUCGUGAAUGGGAUCAAUAGAGAUUGGGUAUUCUUUACCUCACCACCUGAACAUAUUGCUCAUUUUGGUUUGCCACAUGUUAAAAAAUAUACCAAAACCAUGUAUUUUUCUAUGAUUUUUUUUCUUUAAUUUAUUUCAUAUCUUCUAAAGGAAAAAUGAAAGAAGGUUUUCAAAAAGAACAAAAAAAAAAAAAAAAAACAAAGUAGAAGAAGCUUCAAUGGCUUUGCAAUUAAGUAGUAAUUUUCAACAACUUUAUGUUCAUUUCUAAUUAGAAAGUAGUAUUUUGUUCACUGCCCACAUUUGUCAAAAUAUGAAAAUCCUAAUAGAAACCUUUUAAGCUUGAAAAUCCAGUGCAGUGUAUAUUCAAAAAAGAAAUGAUCGCUUUGUAUGGUGACUUUAAUUUUUGUGCUACUCUGACAGUGCUCUUAGAAUUUUGGUUAACUUGGGAGCAAAGUACUAGAUCCUUGAAGAAUGUUAGACUCUAGUUUGUUUACAAGACAUCAACCACAAGACACAAGAGUUUCUGAGUACUAAUAUGUCUGGUGACUGCAAUCUCCUAUAUAGAACACAUUCUCAUCCCUAUCAAAUUCAUUAUGAUCGAAUCACAUGUUUGAAGCUUUGCUAUAUAGCUAGAAGGCAAUAAUAACACUAAACAAUUCACUAGCCCAUAAUUUGAUGCUAUAAAAUCUACCUUUUAGGUAGAAGUGACUUGUGUAGAGUGAAAAAGAUAAGUGGUCAACAUCCUGUACAUUUAUGCUCUUGAUAAUGGCAAAUAUGGUAAAAGCCACUUGAUAGCUAUUCAUUGUCUUGGGCUUUUCUCUUUCUUGAAUGUCUGGCCAUGCUAUUUUGAUAUCAAAAUUUCUCUAUGUGGAUGUCAUAGAUUCACUUCAAAGCAAUGACACUAUGGCAUUGGUUAGUUGUAAAUAUUGCAAGGUUAGAGAAAAAUAUUACAAGAUGGAAGGCACAGAGGAAGAUAGAAUGUCGCCCUUGCCUUCUACAGUGAUUUCACCAAUCCAGGUAUGAUAAACGUUUGUUAUUUGGAUAUGUUGUUAUGUUCGUCAUUGUGGUCGAUGUUUCCAAUGACUUAAUAUAUUGUUUAUUUGUGUAUGAUGGGGAUAUUUUGGUCUCGAAAAUUCAUAUCACCUGGCAUAUAUGAUAUCUCCAAAUAAGUAUCUAAAUCAAUAUUCGUACCAUUGGGAUAACCAGGUAGAUGUGUUUUAUUUUUGUAAAAAUCUUUCUAGUAUGUACAAUUCAUUUUUUUCUAACAUCAUGCCUAAUUGCAACAUCCACCAAUUAUGCCUUACCCUCCAUCGAGUAAUCCAAAGGAGUUUAGAUGAUUUCAAGAGACUCUCCAGCAUCUUCCAACUAUGCCCUACCCUUUGUUGAGUAAUCCAGAGUGAUUCCAAGAGACCCCACAACACCUAGUUCAAUCAUCAACUGUGCCUAACGAAUUGAUGAUUAUAUUGUAUUGUUUACAUAGAUGUGCUAGUACUGAUCAUGUAUACUGAAGACAUGAAUGCAAGCUUGCCGUGUGAUUACAUGGAGGAUGUGUGGCAGUACUGGUUUUGGAGUAUUUUUUUUUUGUGGGGGAGUUUGUAAUAGUUUUUGGUUGUGCAGUUUUGGGGGAGUUGGUACCAUUGUUUAAUUUUUUGGUUGUUGAGGAGUUUGUACCCCUAUGUUUGGUUGUGAAUAUUUGGUGUGUUGUGGGGAAAAAAAAAAGUCUCAUUCUCCAUAUUGUGUAGAUGAUUGUUUGUUGUGAAUGGAAUGUGAUGAACUUUGUAUAA
Long non-coding RNA from Carya illinoinensis, 2025 nucleotides. RefSeq lists it as uncharacterized. The transcript has 2 exons. Lineage: Eukaryota; Viridiplantae; Streptophyta; Magnoliopsida; Fagales; Juglandaceae. The record is from RefSeq and is a predicted model, not a curated record.